GCGUGCCUAAUACAUGCAAGUCGAGCGAACAGACGAGGAGCUUGCUCNCUCUGACGUUAGCGGCGGACGGGUGAGUAACACGUGGAUAACCUACCUAUAAGACUGGGAUAACUUCGGGAAACCGGAGCUAAUACCGGAUAAUAUAUUGAACCGCAUGGUUCAAUAGUGAAAGACGGUUUUGCUGUCACUUAUAGAUGGAUCCGCGCCGCAUUAGCUAGUUGGUAAGGUAACGGCUUACCAAGGCGACGAUGCGUAGCCGACCUGAGAGGGUGAUCGGCCACACUGGAACUGAGACACGGUCCAGACUCCUACGGGAGGCAGCAGUAGGGAAUCUUCCGCAAUGGGCGAAAGCCUGACGGAGCAACGCCGCGUGAGUGAUGAAGGUCUUCGGAUCGUAAAACUCUGUUAUUAGGGAAGAACAAAUGUGUAAGUAACUAUGCACGUCUUGACGGUACCUAAUCAGAAAGCCACGGCUAACUACGUGCCAGCAGCCGCGGUAAUACGUAGGUGGCAAGCGUUAUCCGGAAUUAUUGGGCGUAAAGCGCGCGUAGGCGGUUUUUUAAGUCUGAUGUGAAAGCCCACGGCUCGACCGUGGAGGGUCAUUGGAAACUGGAAAACUUGAGUGCAGAAGAGGAAAGUGGAAUUCCAUGUGUAGCGGUGAAAUGCGCAGAGAUAUGGAGGAACACCAGUGGCGAAGGCGACUUUCUGGUCUGUAACUGACGCUGAUGUGCGAAAG
This 736-nucleotide ribosomal RNA is filed under the name uncultured Staphylococcus sp. Its description in RNAcentral is "bacterial SSU rRNA". It matches the Rfam family "Bacterial small subunit ribosomal RNA", at positions 42 to 759 of the family's 1533-position model. The record is from RNAcentral. Lineage: Bacteria; Bacillati; Bacillota; Bacilli; Caryophanales; Staphylococcaceae.